Molecule: long non-coding RNA, 1946 nt
Organism: Bos taurus (domestic cattle)
Lineage: Eukaryota; Metazoa; Chordata; Mammalia; Artiodactyla; Bovidae
Gene: EMP1
Product: epithelial membrane protein 1
Source: Ensembl
GGGAUGGAAGGGGGGAGGGGCUGAAACCCAAACAUGAUGGAGGGGGUCCUGUACUGUCCAGCCCCUGCCCUGGGAGAAAGCCGUUGGCUGGGACGGGUGCUCCCUGGAUGUGGCUUGGCCUCCAGCUGUUCUCCGUUACACACACUGCCUGGGGCCCCAGCAGCUGCCACAUCACUGGCUCCACUUCCGAGGGUGAAUUCAGUCUUCAGACUCACUGCACCCAGUUAUCACAGCGGUACAAGUUCCGGCCAGGGCAGAUAUUGUUUUUGUGUGGAAUAAGCCAAGCCUGGAAGCCAUCCUGCCCUUCUGACCCAGAGCAAAACAUCACCAUGUGAAGGGCUCGAGGGAGGACUUUGGCCAGUGUGCCAGGAUCCCUCUUUGUUAAGCAGAGAUUUAACUCUGUGGUAUUUGUGACAAAAUGGGAAGAAGAGACAUAGUGAUUAAGGCCAAGUUGGUGGCUUAGCUAAACUGAGAAAGAAAUUUUCACAGUGGAAGGCCUGGGGCGUGGUCACAACUCAGACCAGGCCUCACACAGCUGUCCCUUGUGGAGACCUCUUGCCGUGGACUUUGCUUGGUCUCUCGCUUAAAGCCAAGGCAGCACUCUGGAAUUUCUGUAAAGCCACAAACAAGCAAUUCAGUGGUGGGAGCACCACACAAAUUAUGGGAAAAGGGGGCAGUCCUACAGCAGGAUUAUAUCAGGGUUAUGUUAUUAGGAACCUCUCUCUGUGCAAUCAUGUUGUAUAAGAUGUGAGAGAGAUGGACAUAGAUCCUUGCAACUCAAUCUGUUACUCUUCCCCUAAAUUAUACCCUUUUGAGGAAGUUUUAUCUAAUUAGCCAAGGUGGGGAUCAAAACUCCUAGGCUCAGAGAUGGCUCUAGCUUUAUGAGCUGAAGGGGUCGCCUAUCAGAGGUCCUGCCUGUCCCACAAUACGGAUGAGGCAAGGCAAUUUUGGAAGCUUCUUAAAACACAUGCAAACCAAACCACACAUCCUUGGGUGAAAGGUGCUAUACAAUUGUCAAGUAUUAAGCAUACUAGAUUUCAGUCACAGUAAGAACAGAGUGUCUGUACUUCCAGGAAAAUAAGAAAAUUUCUGUGAGAGAAAUAAAAAUAUAGGUGAUGGGCAGAUAUUUUCUUUAAGGGAAAAGCAAAAACCCCUAAAAACUCUUGUGGUGCCCAGUCCGAUGGUCACUGAGCUUCUCUGUUGCCGCAAGAGUGUUUCUUUGUAGGACUUAGAAGUAUGGUAUUAGUAUGGUAAUCCUGGUUAAGCAGUCAUUGCUCUGGCCUGGCGCAGCUAUGUUUAAGCCAUCUCAGAUUCUGGCUAAAGGGAUUGUUUGUUUGUUUUGGUGGAAGACACUUCCUUUAUCAAUUUGAGAAGAUCUACCCGAGGGAGAAUCUGAGACAUCUUGCCUACUUUUCUUCUUCCAGCUCCCCCUUCAUUCCAUUUCUUAUAUAGUUUUCCUUUUGGGGAGCUGUUAUGCCACAAUUGCUGGUAUUUAUAUAAAAGGAUUAUUACUAAGUUUAUUUCUUUAUGUUCAUUCUGGUUAGGGGAAUGUGGAGGGUGGGCCACCAAAUUAUCUGGACUAGGGGUAAAUGGGUUGGGAAGCAAAAAAAUGUGGGACGAUGAACUUUUUAAUUAUGAUUUAAUGAUCAUGCGAUUAUAGAAGGCUGUCUUGAGUGCAGAGGCAGAUUUGCAUAUCAGGUAUAUCCAAAAGAGAUACUAGCGUUGUGUUAAAAAGUUAAACUAUGACUGGAGUGAACCAUGUAUUCCCUGGUCUUUUGUUUCUGUGCCAUUUAUGUCUCAUGUAAUUUGCAUUACAUUGGUGGGUUGUUCUAGUACUGUAUUUGGCUUCUUCUUUAAUAGAUUGAUAUUUCAUAUACUAUAAUUGUAAAUAUUUUGAUACAAAUGUUUAUAGCUCUAGGCAUAUAAAAACAGAUUCUGAUUCCCUA